RNAcentral lists this ribosomal RNA (493 nucleotides) under uncultured bacterium. RNAcentral's name for it is "bacterial SSU rRNA". It matches the Rfam family "Bacterial small subunit ribosomal RNA", at positions 32 to 530 of the family's 1533-position model. The record is from RNAcentral.
AAUCAACGCUGGCGGCGUGCCUCAGACAUGCAAGUCGAACGAUUAAAGCUCUCUUCGGAGAGUGUAUAGAGUGGCGCACGGGUGAGUAACACGUAAGUAAUCUACCCUCGAGUGGGGAAUAACAACCGGAAACGGUUGCUAAUACCGCAUAAUGCAGCGGCACCGCAAGGUGACAGUUGUUAAAGAUUUAUCGCUUGAGGAGGAGCUUGCGGCAGAUUAGCUAGUUGGUAGGGUAACGGCUUACCAAGGCUACGAUCUGUAACCGGUCUAAGAGGACGGUCGGUCACACUGACACUGAAUAACGGGUCAGACUCCUACGGGAGGCAGCAGUCGGGAAUUUUGGGCAAUGGGCGAAAGCCUGACCCAGCAACGCCGCGUGAAGGAUGAAGUAUUUCGGUAUGUAAACUUCGAAAGAAUAGGAAGAAUUAAUGACGGUACUAUUUAUAAGGUCCGGCUAACUACGUGCCAGCAGCCGCGGUAAGAGUCAACGUCG